AAAUUUUGAUUAUGGCCAUCUAAAUGUGGUCCAAAAUGGAUUGUCUGCACUGAGGAGUUGGCGGCUCUAUCUAGCUCGGGCAAUUUUCUCUGUUUCUAAGUUCUUACAUAAGCAACUUGCCAAUGUAUCUCAACUAAAAGAAAAAAAGACAUAAUAUAAACCAGUAGACUUUAUAAUUUUACAAAAACCAUGUCGAUUUGCUUUUGGUGGUUUCUAUAUUUGGGGUACCAUAUAUAUUUCUACGUAUUAUAAUUCUAGGGAUUCUAUUCUGGUGCAGAUGGCUUCUAGGUUACCCAGUAGUGUACUUGUUUAGAAAGGACCAUAUCGGAGAUGCUAUAUAUAACCUUUCCACCAAAUUUCUUCAUAUCUACAAAAUUUUGGUAUCGAGGAAAAGUACGUCCAAUAAAGAAUCACAUCUGGAGGAACUAAUGAGUUUUUCAGUGCCCUAUGAACUGAGCAUGAGAGGGAGCAAUGAGCCAUGGGCAGAGUCGUUUUUGGCUCGCUUGCAGUCGAAAAGGGGAAGAUGCAAACAAACUUGGAGCUCCUUGGAAAUGGAGGUCACCGAAUGCUACCCACAAGCGAUUUCAUAAUAGAAAAUGGUCUACUCGAAAGCCAAUUAAACCCUAGUUCCGGCAGGUCACCGUUCCAUUCUGCAUAGUAACUGCUUAGAUUAUCCAACACUA
This is a long non-coding RNA of Hibiscus syriacus, 683 nucleotides long. RefSeq lists it as uncharacterized. Lineage: Eukaryota; Viridiplantae; Streptophyta; Magnoliopsida; Malvales; Malvaceae. The transcript is spliced from 3 exons. The record is from RefSeq and is a predicted model, not a curated record.